RNAcentral lists this ribosomal RNA (185 nucleotides) under Ixodes auritulus. Its description in RNAcentral is "partial 16S ribosomal RNA". Lineage: Eukaryota; Metazoa; Arthropoda; Arachnida; Ixodida; Ixodidae. The record is from RNAcentral.
GAUCUUUUUUGGUGAAGAAAUUAAAAUUAAGAAGUUUGUUCAACUUCUAAAUUCCUACAUGAUCUGAGUUCAGACCGGCGUGAGCCAGGUUGGUUUCUAUCUUAAUUUAGUUUUAAAAAUUUUUUUAGUACGAAAGGAAUUAAAAGUAUUAAGAUAUUUAAUUAUAAUUAUAAUAAAAAAAUUAA